CGAUGAACCACUUCGGUGGGGAUUAGUGGCGAACGGGUGAGUAACACGUGGGCAAUCUGCCCUGCACUCUGGGACAAGCCCUGGAAACGGGGUCUAAUACCGGAUACUGAUCAUCUUGGGCAUCCUUGGUGAUCGAAAGCUCCGGCGGUGCAGGAUGAGCCCGCGGCCUAUCAGCUUGUUGGUGAGGUAAUGGCUCACCAAGGCGACGACGGGUAGCCGGCCUGAGAGGGCGACCGGCCACACUGGGACUGAGACACGGCCCAGACUCCUACGGGAGGCAGCAGUGGGGAAUAUUGCACAAUGGGCGAAAGCCUGAUGCAGCGACGCCGCGUGAGGGAUGACGGCCUUCGGGUUGUAAACCUCUUUCAGCAGGGAAGAAGCGAAAGUGACGGUACCUGCAGAAGAAGCGCCGGCUAACUACGUGCCAGCAGCCGCGGUAAUACGUAGGGCGCGAGCGUUGUCCGGAAUUAUUGGGCGUAAAGAGCUCGUAGGCGGCUUGUCGCGUCGGUUGUGAAAGCCCGGGGCUUAACCCCGGGUCUGCAGUCGAUACGGGCAGGCUAGAGUUCGGUAGGGGAGAUCGGAAUUCCUGGUGUAGCGGUGAAAUGCGCAGAUAUCAGGAGGAACACCGGUGGCGAAGGCGGAUCUCUGGGCCGAUACUGACGCUGAGGAGCGAAAGCGUGGGGAGCGAACAGGAUUAGAUACCCUGGUAGUCCACGCCGUAAACGGUGGGCACUAGGUGUGGGCGACAUUCCACGUCGUCCGUGCCGCAGCUAACGCAUUAAGUGC
This 786-nucleotide ribosomal RNA is filed under the name Actinomycetes bacterium. Its description in RNAcentral is "bacterial SSU rRNA". It matches the Rfam family "Bacterial small subunit ribosomal RNA", at positions 67 to 867 of the family's 1533-position model. Lineage: Bacteria; Bacillati; Actinomycetota; Actinomycetes. The record is from RNAcentral.